This 460-nucleotide ribosomal RNA is filed under the name uncultured bacterium. RNAcentral's name for it is "partial 16S ribosomal RNA". It matches the Rfam family "Bacterial small subunit ribosomal RNA", at positions 338 to 795 of the family's 1533-position model. The record is from RNAcentral.
CCUACGGGCGGCAGCAGUGAGGAAUAUUGGUCAAUGGACGCAAGUCUGAACCAGCCAUGCCGCGUGCAGGAAGACGGCUCUAUGAGUUGUAAACUGCUUUUGUACGAGGGUAAACGCAGAUACGCGUAUCUGUCUGAAAGUAUCGUACGAAUAAGGAUCGGCUAACUCCGUGCCAGCAGCCGCGGUAAUACGGAGGAUUCAAGCGUUAUCCGGAUUUAUUGGGUUUAAAGGGUGCGUAGGCGGUCGGAUAAGUUAGAGGUGAAAUCCCGAGGCUCAACUUCGGAAUUGCCUCUGAUACUGUUCGGCGAGAGAGUAGUUGAGGUAGGCGGAAUGUAUGGUGUAGCGGUGAAAUGCUUAGAGAUCAUACAGAACACCGAUUGCGAAGGCAGCUUACCAAGCUACUUCUGACGUUGAGGCACGAAAGCGUGGGGAGCAAACAGGAUUAGAUACCCGGGUAGUC